UGGCUCAGUUGGUAGAGCAUGGUGUUUGCAACGCCAGGGUUGUUGGUUCGAUUCCCAU
This 58-nucleotide transfer RNA is filed under the name Salmo salar (Atlantic salmon). It matches the Rfam family "tRNA", at positions 8 to 63 of the family's 71-position model. Rfam says of the family: Transfer RNA (tRNA) molecules are approximately 80 nucleotides in length. Their secondary structure includes four short double-helical elements and three loops (D, anti-codon, and T loops). Lineage: Eukaryota; Metazoa; Chordata; Actinopteri; Salmoniformes; Salmonidae. The record is from Rfam by way of RNAcentral.